UCAUAAAACCAUAACCCAUCAUCUAUAAACAUAACUGUUCUAGUUAGGGAAGGUCCUAAGCAUCUGCCUCUCCCUCUACAGUAGUGCCUUGCUCCCCAGCCUUUUCGUCAUUACCUGGAUCUCUUAGCCCUUUCAAGAGGCAAGAUAGAGGACUAAAUAGUGGUAUAGCCGUGUGGAUGAAGAGCCAAAAUGAUAGGACUUCAAGAUUUCACCCUUUUGAAUAUGAAAAGAAGCUUUGGUUCCAAGUUUUGAAUCAAAACC
Juglans microcarpa x Juglans regia is the source of this 261-nucleotide long non-coding RNA. RefSeq lists it as uncharacterized. The transcript is spliced from 2 exons. Lineage: Eukaryota; Viridiplantae; Streptophyta; Magnoliopsida; Fagales; Juglandaceae. The record is from RefSeq and is a predicted model, not a curated record.